GGGUUGUGAGGUUAAGCGACUAAGCGUACACGGUGGAUGCCCUGGCAGUCAGAGGCGAUGAAGGACGUGCUAAUCUGCGAUAAGCGUCGGUAAGGUGAUAUGAACCGUUAUAACCGGCGAUUUCCGAAUGGGGAAACCCAGUGUGAUUCGUCACACUAUCAUUAACUGAAUCCAUAGGUUAAUGAGGCGAACCGGGGGAACUGAAACAUCUAAGUACCCCGAGGAAAAGAAAUCAACCGAGAUUCCCCCAGUAGCGGCGAGCGAACGGGGAGCAGCCCAGAGCCUGAAUCAGUGUGUGUGUUAGUGGAAGCGUCUGGAAAGGCGUGCGAUACAGGGUGACAGCCCCGUACACAAAAAUGCACAUGCUGUGAGCUCGAUGAGUAGGGCGGGACACGUGGUAUCCUGUCUGAAUAUGGGGGGACCAUCCUCCAAGGCUAAAUACUCCUGACUGACCGAUAGUGAACCAGUACCGUGAGGGAAAGGCGAAAAGAACCCCGGCGAGGGGAGUGAAAAAGAACCUGAAACCGUGUACGUACAAGCAGUGGGAGCACGCUUAGGCGUGUGACUGCGUACCUUUUGUAUAAUGGGUCAGCGACUUAUAUUCUGUAGCAAGGUUAACCGAAUAGGGGAGCCGAAGGGAAACCGAGUCUUAACUGGGCGUUAAGUUGCAGGGUAUAGACCCGAAACCCGGUGAUCUAGCCAUGGGCAGGUUGAAGGUUGGGUAACACUAACUGGAGGACCGAACCGACUAAUGUUGAAAAAUUAGCGGAUGACUUGUGGCUGGGGGUGAAAGGCCAAUCAAACCGGGAGAUAGCUGGUUCUCCCCGAAAGCUAUUUAGGUAGCGCCUCGUGAAUUCAUCUCCGGGGGUAGAGCACUGUUUCGGCAAGGGGGUCAUCCCGACUUACCAACCCGAUGCAAACUGCGAAUACCGGAGAAUGUUAUCACGGGAGACACACGGCGGGUGCUAACGUCCGUCGUGAAGAGGGAAACAACCCAGACCGCCAGCUAAGGUCCCAAAGUCAUGGUUAAGUGGGAAACG
This 1040-nucleotide ribosomal RNA is filed under the name Escherichia coli. RNAcentral describes it as "partial 23S ribosomal RNA". It matches the Rfam family "Bacterial large subunit ribosomal RNA", at positions 1 to 1072 of the family's 2925-position model. The record is from RNAcentral. Lineage: Bacteria; Pseudomonadati; Pseudomonadota; Gammaproteobacteria; Enterobacterales; Enterobacteriaceae.